AAUCCAUAGGUUAAUGAGGCGAACCGGGGGAACUGAAACAUCUAAGUACCCCGAGGAAAAGAAAUCAACCGAGAUUCCCCCAGUAGCGGCGAGCGAACGGGGAGGAGCCCAGAGCCUGAAUCAGCAUGUGUGUUAGUGGAAGCGUCUGGAAAGGCGCGCGAUACAGGGUGACAGCCCCGUACACAAAAGCGCAUGUGCUGUGAGCUCGAUGAGUAGGGCGGGACACGUGGUAUCCUGUCUGAAUAUGGGGGGACCAUCCUCCAAGGCUAAAUACUCCUGACUGACCGAUAGUGAACCAGUACCGUGAGGGAAAGGCGAAAAGAACCCCGGCGAGGGGAGUGAAAAAGAACCUGAAACCGUGUACGUACAAGCAGUGGGAGCCCCACCACCAAAGCAUUUGCUGUACCGCGUUGACGGAGCGAAGCGACGUCAAACCGAUA
This 440-nucleotide ribosomal RNA is filed under the name Salmonella enterica subsp. enterica serovar Enteritidis. Its description in RNAcentral is "partial 23S ribosomal RNA". It matches the Rfam family "Bacterial large subunit ribosomal RNA", at positions 161 to 586 of the family's 2925-position model. RNAcentral also lists the same sequence under 1 other name. Lineage: Bacteria; Pseudomonadati; Pseudomonadota; Gammaproteobacteria; Enterobacterales; Enterobacteriaceae. The record is from RNAcentral.